GCCUGGGUGGCUUAGUCGGUUAAGCGUCUGAUUUCGGCUCAGGUCAUGAUCUCACCACUUGUGAGUUCAAGCCCCGUGUCGGGCU
RNAcentral lists this transfer RNA (85 nucleotides) under Felis catus (domestic cat). It matches the Rfam family "tRNA". From Rfam's summary of the family: Transfer RNA (tRNA) molecules are approximately 80 nucleotides in length. The record is from Rfam by way of RNAcentral. Lineage: Eukaryota; Metazoa; Chordata; Mammalia; Carnivora; Felidae.